This 1388-nucleotide ribosomal RNA is filed under the name Massaria ariae. RNAcentral describes it as "partial 18S ribosomal RNA". It matches the Rfam family "Eukaryotic small subunit ribosomal RNA", at positions 46 to 1059 of the family's 1831-position model. Lineage: Eukaryota; Fungi; Ascomycota; Dothideomycetes; Pleosporales; Massariaceae. The record is from RNAcentral.
UAGCCAUGCAUGUCUAGUAUAAGCAAUUAUACCGUGAAACUGCGAAUGGCUCAUUAAAUCAGUUAUCGUUUAUUUGAUAGUACCUUACUACUUGGAUAACCGUGGUAAUUCUAGAGCUAAUACAUGCUAAAAACCCCAACUUCGGAAGGGGUGUAUUUAUUAGAUAAAAAACCAAUGCCCUUCGGGGCUCCUUGGUGAUUCAUAAUAACUUAACGGAUCGCAUGGCCUUGCGCCGGCGACGGUUCAUUCAAAUUUCUGCCCUAUCAACUUUCGAUGGUAAGGUAUUGGCUUACCAUGGUUUCAACGGGUAACGGGGAAUUAGGGUUCGACUCCGGAGAGGGAGCCUGAGAAACGGCUACCACAUCCAAGGAAGGCAGCAGGCGCGCAAAUUACCCAAUCCCGACACGGGGAGGUAGUGACAAUAAAUACUGAUACAGGGCUCUUUCGGGUCUUGUAAUUGGAAUGAGUACAAUUUAAAUCCCUUAACGAGGAACAAUUGGAGGGCAAGUCUGGUGAAUUCUCAGUUUUUGCUGACGCCAGAGAUAGUAGGGCCUUUGGCGGCUUUAGCUGCUAGAGGUUAUGCCUGCUAGUCGAGUAUUCACAACAGCGGUGGGUGAAUGCCGGCAAGGUGACCUGGUACGGGGAAGCCUAAGGGUGUUUACACCUAUGGUAAUCCCGUGGCGAGUCUUUCUGAAAAGAAAGGCCGUCGUAACGCGCGGAAAGGCACCGGCUUGUUGUAUUUAGUAAUGCAGCGGCUCAAGGGACGUGCUGACCCAUCUGAAAGGAUGUUUUUAACUGGAGCACCCACCGUGUAAAGGUUAAAAAGGGUCUCUGCCAGUGGCAGAGACUUGGGAGUGUUUAAGUGGCUUUUUGGGCGCCACGUAAACGCAUUUAACUCGGCCAGCAGCCGCGGUAAUUCCAGCUCCAAUAGCGUAUAUUAAAGUUGUUGCAGUUAAAAAGCUCGUAGUUGAACCUUGGGCCUGGCUGGCCGGUCCGCCUCACCGCGUGUACUGGUCCGGCCGGGCCUUUCUUUCUGGAGAUCCCCAUGUCCUUCACUGGGUGUGGCGGGGAACCAGGACUUUUACUGAGAAAAAAUUAGAGUGUUCAAAGCAGGCCUUUGCUCGAAUAUUCCAGCUUGGAAUAAUAGAAUAGGACGUGCGGUUCUAUUUUGUUGGUUUCUAGGACCGCCGUAAUGAUUAAUAGGGAUAGUCGGGGGCAUCAGUAUUCAAUUGUCAGAGGUGAAAUUCUUGGAUUUAUUGAAGACUAACUACUGCGAAAGCAUUUGCCAAGGAUGUUUUCAUUAAUCAGUGAACGAAAGUUAGGGGAUCGAAGACGAUCAGAUACCGUCGUAGUCUUAACCGUAAACUAUGCCGACUAGGGAUCGGGCG